This is a long non-coding RNA of Chiloscyllium plagiosum (whitespotted bambooshark), 991 nucleotides long. RefSeq lists it as uncharacterized. The record is from RefSeq and is a predicted model, not a curated record. Lineage: Eukaryota; Metazoa; Chordata; Chondrichthyes; Orectolobiformes; Hemiscylliidae.
UGAGAUGAGGGGGGGAAGUAUUUGUUUACUUAAACAGAACUGGGUGAUGUGAGUUCAUGAUACCACAAAAAAGGAAGUUCUGUCUUUUUGGGCCAUUGUUGACGUUGUUGCUCAACCCAAUAGCAGUAUCACACGCAUGCAGAACUGCACUUUGGUUUCUAAUUCAAAUAAGUGCAAAGUCUGAAGAUCAUGCAAAUAUUGUCCUUUUGCGUAGGUCUCAGCAGAGAUGCGACUAGUGAACCAUAUUUUCACUCGGAUGUUUUUGCUACAGCUUCAAAAGAUGUACUGUUUCAGUGUUACGUUAUGGACUGCGUCUAUAAUGUGGUUGCGAUUCAUUAACAAGUCUUGUUCUGCCGGUGAUUAAGCUGGCAUGUACUUUUGUCGUGGGAAAGACAGUGUUUCAUCAGCUAGGAUCGUUGACAUGCUUUUACUCUGGCUACGUUCAAUGGUGGCUGUCCCGCAACAUGUGGAGUCAGUGGUAUUUCUCUUUCCUUACCUGCAGAGGAAGGGUAUUUAAUGGUUGUUCUCAAACCUGGACAUCACAGAUGAGCAUGUUAAACCACUAAUGCAGAAAGACCACUUUUUAACCUUUUGUUGUAUACCCUGCAGGAGGUGGCUUCCUUCUGAGACUUAACAGCAAUCUAGGUUUGUUCAAUAUAUCAUAUACAUUGCAUGCAUGAUACUGUGAUCUUUUACUGUAAUUUCAAUGUCUUAUGGUCCUGCUCCACAGCUACAUGAUGAAGGAGCAGCACUUCAAAAGCCAGUGCUUCCAAAUAAACCUGUUGGACUAUAACCUGGUGUUGUGUGAUUUUUACCUUUGUCCUUCUGAGAAGGUUGUGGAUUGGCAGCCCUUUGUUAUCUAUAUCUUCUAGUCUUUCCCUGAAUCUGAUAUUUCAUACAGGACUCUACCAGCCAGUCACUAAUUUUAGGUGAAAAUGAGGACUGCAGAUGCUGGAGAUUAGAGUCAAGAAUGUGGUGCUGGAAAUGCACA